This 460-nucleotide ribosomal RNA is filed under the name uncultured bacterium. Its description in RNAcentral is "partial 16S ribosomal RNA". It matches the Rfam family "Bacterial small subunit ribosomal RNA", at positions 338 to 795 of the family's 1533-position model. The record is from RNAcentral.
CCUACGGGUGGCAGCAGUGAGGAAUAUUGGUCAAUGGACGGAAGUCUGAACCAGCCAUGCCGCGUGCAGGAAGACGGCUCUAUGAGUUGUAAACUGCUUUUGUACAAGGGUAAACCUGAAUACGUGUAUUCAGCUGAAAGUACUGUACGAAUAAGCAUCGGCUAACUCCGUGCCAGCAGCCGCGGUAAUACGGAGGAUCCAAGCGUUAUCCGGAUUUAUUGGGUUUAAAGGGUGCGUAGGCGGAUUGAUAAGUUAGAGGUGAAAUGUCCGAGCUUAACUCGGGAACUGCCUCUAAUACUGUUGGUCUAGAGAGUAGAUGCGGUAGGCGGAAUGUAUGGUGUAGCGGUGAAAUGCUUAGAGAUCAUACAGAACACCGAUUGCGAAGGCAGCUUACCAAUCUAUAUCUGACGUUGAGGCACGAAAGCGUGGGGAGCAAACAGGAUUAGAUACCCGUGUAGUC